AAUAGUCACUCCAUGCUCUUAUCUCUGCAUGAAGACAAGUAACAUAUUACUUGUUUUUAGCUUACUAUUUUUACUUUAUUUUCUUGUACUGUCCUUUAAUUUCUCAGCUAUUUUCUUGAACCUCUCUCUCCCAUCAGUUAGUUUCCAGCAAUUCAUUUUCCAUCCUUUACUUUCAUUGCACCCAUUUAUUUCAAUUUUAGCCUUUUGUUCACAUCUCAAGUUCAAUUAUCAUAUUUAAGGUUCAUUGCAUUUUCUGCUUCACUCAAUCCGGGUCAAGUUUGUGGAAUUCACCCAUCUGAAUGCACCCACAGAUACUACUACAUAAAUCAAAGUUUAAAAGGCCAUCUAGAGUUAAAAUUAAAUCUUGCACAUAUCAAAGUUACACAAGUAACAAAGAUGAGAGGUCGAAGUAGCCAUUCAGGAUAAAUUGGGGCAAAUUAUUAAAGAAACAUUCACCUGAAUUCGAUAUUUUUUUUAUUAAAUGUAGCAAUAAACUGAGAACAAUGAAGGAAUAGAACUGUAUAGCUGACCCUAAUUAGAUUGGAUAAGGAUUUGUUGAGUUGAGGAAGUUAAAGGAGGCAAAAACAAAAACCUUUCAUCCUUGUUGCAAAUAUGUUUCUGGAGAUGGGCAAAUAGAAAAUAAUUAUAACUGCAAUUGACUAUUUGUAGAAGAAUAAUGAGGAUAUCAUAGAGCAAAAAUUUGUAUGGUCCUUACACUUUGUAUGAUACAUAGGCUAAA
This 739-nucleotide unclassified non-coding RNA is filed under the name Hevea brasiliensis (rubber tree). The record is from RNAcentral. Lineage: Eukaryota; Viridiplantae; Streptophyta; Magnoliopsida; Malpighiales; Euphorbiaceae.